This 253-nucleotide ribosomal RNA is filed under the name uncultured bacterium. Its description in RNAcentral is "partial 16S ribosomal RNA". It matches the Rfam family "Bacterial small subunit ribosomal RNA", at positions 524 to 776 of the family's 1533-position model. The record is from RNAcentral.
CACGUAGGGGACGAGCGUUGUCCGGAUUCAUUGGGCGUAAAGGGCGCGUAGGUGGUUCUGUAUGUCUACCGUGAAAGCGUACGGCUCAACCGUAUUUUGUCGGUGGAAACUGCAGGACUUGAGGCUGGGAGGGGCUGGUGGAAUUCCCUGUGUAGCGGUGAAAUGCGUAGAGAUGGGGGAGAACACUCGUGGCGAAGGCGGCCAGCUAGACCAGUUCUGACACUGAGGCGCGACAGCGUGGGGAGCAAACAGG